RNAcentral lists this transfer RNA (69 nucleotides) under Cynogale bennetti (Otter civet). RNAcentral describes it as "tRNA-Ala". It matches the Rfam family "tRNA". Rfam says of the family: Transfer RNA (tRNA) molecules are approximately 80 nucleotides in length. Their secondary structure includes four short double-helical elements and three loops (D, anti-codon, and T loops). Lineage: Eukaryota; Metazoa; Chordata; Mammalia; Carnivora; Viverridae. The record is from RNAcentral.
AAGGGCUUAGCUUAAUUAAAGUAUCUGAUUUGCAAUCAGUUGAUGUAGGAUAGAUUCUUGCAGUCCUUA